UUUUCUCUUCAUGUGGCCGGCCAUAGCAAGAACAAAGAGAGGAAAAGAAAAACAAGAAACCUAGGUGGGAAAAUUAAAGAAAAAGUGUGGGAUUUCAAGGAAUCAAGCAAUCAAAGGUAAAAUUUCUUGAUUUUGACUUGUGAUCUACCUUUCCCAUGCUUUUCUCCUUCUUUCCAUGGUUANACCUUUCCCAUGCUUUUCUCCUUCUUUUCCAUGGUUAGAUUUCAUGUUUUCAUGGUGAAUUCAUGGCUGCCCAAAUGGGUAGGGAGAGAGAAUGAAGUUAGAUUGAUUUGAUUUUAGGUUAUGUUAGUGUUUUAAGUUAGUUUAGCAUAUUUAGAAAUAAAACAAUAAGAAAAGAAUUCAUUUUCCCCCAUUACCAUCAUUGGCUGAAUUUCCUAAGGAGAAUAUUGUGGCUGAAUUUGAUGAUAUUUGAUGAUAUUUUGGUAAUAUUUGAUGUUUGGUGAGGCUAGAAAUUAAAUGGAAAAUUUUGGUGCGAAAAUACAAAUUUUUGCUCAACAUAUAAACAUGUGUAAUUAUUGACUCGAGACCGAUAAAUUGAACCUCAUUCAUAGUCACUGAGGUAAUUUAGGUAUAAUUGGAGUGUGAAAAGUGAAAAGAAUUUAUUUGGAGUUAAAUUGAAGAUUUUAGCCGAUUAGACCAAAAUAGUGCAAAUUAGGUCGAAUACCGUAUUUAAACGGCUAUUCAGACAUUUUUGCAUUCCAUAUCAUGCAUUAGUAGCCUAAAUUAGUUUAAUUUCAAUUUAGUACCAAUGUGGUGAAUUUCUCAAUUUUGUACUGUGUCAAGGUGGUGAGUCCUCCGAUAAAGGCAAGGAAAUUACAUCCAAGGAUCAGUAAACAGAGUACUUCAAAAGUCUGCAUUCUAGACAUUGUGAGUAAACUUACUAUCAUUUUAAUCAUCUAGGGUGAUUUUUCGAUGGUUUCAUGAAUUUUAUGGAAAAAUGGAUUUAAAAGGUAAAUUUUCAUGUUCUAUGAAUAAAGGUGUUCCAAUGAAAUUAAAUUAUAAAUUGUUUUGAAAUUAAUGAUGAUUUUGAAAAAUAGAGUACAUGAAGACUGUUAAUUGUGGCAAUUUGAUUGUUUAAAUUUAUAGCUUAUGUUAUAUUGUUAUUGUAUUGGCAUGACUGGUUGGGCUGUGUUUUAUGAAUUGUAUGAAUUGUUUUAUUUUACACUUGCAAGCUGGGUAGUAUUUCAUUAGCCCUGUCAUGCUGUCAAAAUUUUAUUAUAUGGUGAAUUAUAUAUUAAUUAAUCACUACAGUAGGGGGUUUCUGUGGACUAGCCUUUUAGAGGGGCACAGUAAACCCCAUUAUAUUCUUACCUCGAUUGGAGAAGCGUGUAGGGUAUCUCCUGGGGUAAAGUUUAGGGUUCACUUCACGCUAAACCACCACGUGAGGGAGAACUCAGCCAACGCCAAGGAACGGCUGUACUUUUAAAUGAAAAAAAAAUGUGUUUUAUGCGAAAUGUGAAUAUUUAACAGCCUUGGCGGUCUCGGUAGGAUGCCUCGGCCAAGGUGUCCCUGAGAAUGGAUUUAUGGCACAAGCCUAGUUUUUAUGAGAUUCAUAAGCCUCUUCACGUAUUUUAAAUGAAAUGUAUUCUAAUGCUGUGACCUAGUUUACGAUGAUUUACUUGAUUAUCUCCAUGUACUCAACUCUAGAUGUUUAUGAUGAUGUCUGUUUACUCAUUGGGAUUCUAUAAUCUCACCACCCUCAUUUCCUUCCAUUUCAGGCUCAGUAUAGGCUGUAGAUAGCUGAUAGCGUCGAAGGCUACAGUUGACUCGACUACUUCAAAAAUCGUAGGUUCAUAGCCUUCUUUCACUUUUGUCAUUUGGGGGCCCAAGUGUCACUGUAAAUUAAAUUUUAUACUUUAGUUAUCUGUACUACUGUAUGUAAGAAUUUAUUUUGUUUUUACUCUGAUAAAACAAUUAAUUACACAGUGUUCUAAAAAUAUUAUUUUAAGUUAAAAAUGAGAAACUGAUAUUAAAACCUUGCGGGGUUCCGGUUGACAUUUUGGGUAAUGAGUGUCUAUCGGGGUACCACGACGAUUGUCACGAGCUCGAGGGGAGUAUGGGGUCAUGACAAUUUGAUUGGUAUUAGAGCUUUUGGUUUUAAAUAUAAGAGUUUUUAGUUUUAAAGUUGUUUUAAAAAUUUACAGUAUCAGUGUGGCCCCAAAUUAAGUUAGGUUAGGUUGAAUAGAAUGCAUGCAUUUGCAUAUAGAGUCUAAGGUUGAUUAAAUUUGCCUUGUUCCCUUGUAUAGAUUGCCAUGCCUCAUCGACGUAGACGCCCACUUCUCACUAGAUCGGUUGGGAGGGGAAGAGGUCGUUCCCAAUGUCAUCAGCUAGAUGCAGUAGAGGAGGAAUCGGAUGCAUCCACCGUUCGGGCAGCACCUGCUGCUGAGCAGGCUGAGACUCCUCCACAUUCUCUACAUCCUCCGUCACCUAAUGGUAUUCCUGCCAUGUCUCUUGAGACAACACAAGCAUUGAUAGCUUUCUUUACCCCAAUGGCUGGUCAAGCUCAGACUGGUCAAGUUCCACCUAUAAUGCCUCCAGCUACUCUUUCAGUUCUGUCAGUAUAGGAUGUAUCCAUUUCCAAGAAGCUGAAGGAGGCUAGACAAUUGGGUUGUGUGUCUUUCACGGGUGAGUUGGAUGCCACUAUGGCAAAGAACUAGAUUAAUCAGGUUUCAGAUACUCUCUCUGAUAUGAGAUUAGAUGACGACAUGAAGCUGAUGGUGGCUACGAGAUUAUUAGAGAAGAGGGCUCGUACUUGGUGACAUUAGGUGAAGUCCCGUUCCACUACUCCUUAGAUAUGGUCUGACUUUCUCAAGGAAUUCGACAAUCAGUAUUUCACUUAUUUCCAUCAAAAAGAAAAGAAAAGAGAAUUUCUGAGUUUGAAACAAGAAAAUUUAACUGUAGAGGAGUACGAAGCUCGUUUUAACGAGCUGAUGUUAUAUGUGUCCGAUCUGGUGAAAUCUGAGCAAGAUCAGGCUAAUUAUUUCGAAGAAAGGCUUCGUAAUGAGAUUAGAGAACGGAUGACAAUGACUGGUAGGGAGCCAUAUAAGAAGGUCGUACAGAUGGCUUGACGGGCUGAAAAGCUCGCGAUUGAGAAUAGGAGGAUUCGGACCGAGUUUGCAAAAAGGAAAAAUUCAAGUGUAUCUUCUAGUCAGUCACCAAAAAAGGGCAAAGACUCAUUUGCUUCAGGGAGCACUACUUCUGUUUCAGUGAGAUCUCCUCGACCUCCAUUUCCACCAUCACAGCAGAGACCUUCGAGGUUUAGCAAAUCUACUAUGACUGGUUCAGAAAAGAGUUUCAAAGGUUCUGACAGAUGCAGAAAUUGUGGGAAUUAUCAUGUUGGGCUGUGUAGGGGGCCUGCACAAUGUUUUCAUUGUGGUCAGCCGGGUCAUAUUAGGAGUAAUUGACCACGGUUAGGACGAGCCACUAUAGCUGCAUCAUCUCCGCCAGCUUGCACUAAUAUGCAGAGGAGAGAUUCUUCUGGGUUACCACCGAGACAAGGAGUAGCCAUACAGUCCGACGUGGAGAGUAAUACCCCAACACAUCCACCUUCGAGACCACAGACUUGUACUUCGACAAGAGUUUUCGUAGUGACAAAAAAUGAGGCACGGGUCCAACCUGGAGCAGUGAUAGGUAUUAUGUCUUUAUUUGGUAAAGAUGCUUAUGUUUUGAUAAAUUCUGGCUCAAAUAGAUCUUAUGUGAGUACGGCAUUUACAUCAAUUACUGAUAGAAACCUGUCACCAUUAGAGGCAGAAAUUGUAGUGCAUACCCCUCUAGGAGAACAGUUGAGUACAAAUACUUGUUAUAGAGACUGUAGGGUAAGGGUAGGUGAGGAAGAAUUUAGAGGUGACUUAAUUCCUCUAGAGAUCUUGGAUUUUGAUCUAAUAUUGGGUAUGGACUGGCUAAUUGCACAUCGGGCGAAUGUGGAUUGUUUUUGGAAAGAAGUUAUUCUUUGAAAUUCGAAGGGAGCAGAGAUUGUGUUUAUAGGGGAAUAUCGAGUAUUACCGUCUUGUAUAAUCUCAGCCAUCAAAGCUUCGAAAUUAGUGCAAAAAAUGUAUUCGGCUUAUUUGGCACAUGUGAUUGAUACUUUAAAGGGGGAACCUAAGUUAGAGAAUGUCCCAAUAGUAAAUGAGUUUUUUGAUGUAUUUCUUGAUGAGUUACCGGGACUACCUCCUGAUCGAGAGCUUGAAUUCCCUAUUGAUUUACUUUCGAGUACCCCACCUGUUUCUAUUCCUCCAUAUAGAAUGGCUCCGACAGAGUUGAAGGAACUGAAAGUCCAAUUGCAAGAUUUGGUGGACAAAGGUUUCAUUCGCCCUAGCAUUUCUCCUUGGGGAGCACCAGUCCUAUUUGUUAAGAAGAAGGAUGGCACUCUUCGAUUAUGUAUCGAUUACCGUCAGCUGAACCGAGUGACCAUCAAGAAUAAAUACCCUUUACCCGGGAUCGAUGGUCUUUUUGCUCAAUUACAAGGUGCUAUGGUGUUCUCUAAGAUUGAUUUGAGAUCUGGGUAUUAUCAGUUGAAGAUUAAGGAGCCAGAUGUACCCAAGAUUGCCUUCAGGACGCGUUAUGGGCAUUAUGAGUUUCUGAUGAUGUCGUUUGGUUUGACUAAUGCCCCGGUAACUUUUAUGGAUUUUAUGAACAGGGUUAGAUAAGUUUGUGAUAGUGUUCAUAGAUGACAUCCUGGUUUAUUCGAAGAAUGAUGAUGAACAUGCUGCCCAUUUGCGCAUUGUGUUGCAAACUUUGCGCGAAAGAGAACUCUAUGCCAAGUUCUCUAAAUGUGAGUUUUGGUUAAAGGAAGUGGUUUUCUUGGGACAUGUGGUGUCCGGAGCUAGAAUUUAUGUCGAUCCCAAAAAGAUUGAGGCAAUCUUACAAUGGGAGCAACCGAGAACGGUAACUGAGAUUCGUAGUUUCCUUGAAUUAACUGGUUAUUAUCGAAGAUUUGUUUAGGGGUUUUCAUUGAUAGCAGCUCCUUUGACUCGUUUGACUCAUAAAGGAGUUAAGUUUGAGUGGGAUGAUGUUUGUGAGAGUCAAUUUCAGGAGCUAAAGAACCAGUUAACCUCCGCUCCCGUUCUGACACUUUCGUGUUAAUGGAAAAGAAUUUGUGGUGUACAAUGAUGCAUCUAAGUUGGGAUUAGGGUGUGUGUUGAUGCAGGAUGAGAAAGUAAUAGCUUAUGCUUCCCGGCAGUUGAAGAAGCACGAGACGAAUUACCCUACUCAUGACCUGGAGUUAGCAGCAGUAGUCUUCGCAUUGAAGAUUUGGAGACAUUAUUUAUAUGGUGAGCAUUGUCGGAUUUUUACUAAUCAUAAGAGUUUGAAAUAUUUGUUCACCCAGAAAGAGCUUAACUUGAGACAGAGACGAUGGUUGGAGUUGAUUAAGGAUUAUGACUUGGUGAUUGAUUAUCAUCUUGGAAAGGCAAAUGUUGUAGCGGAUGCCUUAAGUUGUAAAUCCUCAUCGUCGUUAGUAACACUUCCGAGUUCUUAUUUUUCGAUAUUACUUGAGAUGAAAUAUCUAGGGAUCCAGUUGAAUAAUGGUGAGGAUGGAACCCUACUUGCUAGUUUCGUUGUGAGACCUUCAUUGUUGAAUCAGAUUAGAGAAUUGCAGAAAUUCGAUGAUUGGUUGAAGCAAGAAGUUCAAAAGCUACAAAAUGGAGAAACUAGUGAGUUUAGACUUAGCGAUAAUGGUACUUUGAUGCUUAGAGACCAAAUUUAUGUCCCUAAGGAUGAUCAGUUGAGACGAGCUAUUUUGGAGGAAGCUCAUUCUUCCGUCUACGCUUUACAUCUCGGAAGCACAAAGAUGAAUCGGACUAUUGAAGAAAGUUAUUGAUGGCCGGGUAUGAAACGAGACAUAGCAGAGUUUGUAGCAAAAUGUCUCACAUGCCAACAGAUCAAGGCGGAGCAUCAAAAAUCGUCAGAUACUCUUCAGCCUUUACCGAUUCCUGAAUAGAAGUGGGAACAUGUGACUAUGGACUUUGUAUUGGGUUUGCCGCGAACACAAAGUGGAAAGGAUGCUAUUUGGGUGAUUGUGGAUAGAUUGACUAAGUCCGCCCAUUUUUGACUAUCCAUAACACGUAUUCUAUUGAGAAACUCGCAAAACUUUAUAUAGAUGAGAUUAUGAGAUUACACGGAGUUCUAGUUUCUAUUGUGUCAGAUUGAGACCCUCGAUUUACUUCUCAAUUUUGGUUGAAAUUUCAGGAAGCUCUCGAAACUAAAUUAAGAUUUAGUACUGCUUUUCAUCCGCAAACUAAUGGUCAAUCUGAAAGAACUAUUCAUACCUUGGAGGAUAUGUUACGGGCUUGUGUCAUUGACUUCAUUAGGAGUUGGGACAGACACUUGCCAUUGGUAGAGUUCGCGUAUGAUAACAGUUUUCAGUCUAGUAUUGGGAUGGCACCAUACGAGGCUUUGUAUGGAAGGAAGUGCCAAACUCAGCUCUGUUGGGAUGAAGUGGGUGAGAGGAAAUUGGUGAAUGUGGAAUUGAUUGAUCUGACUAAUGACAAGGUCAAGUUUAUCAUAGAGCAGUUAAAGAUAGCUCAAGAUAGGCAGAAGAGUUAUUCUGAUAAACGAAGGAAAGAUUUGGAGUUUGAAGUUGACGAUAAAGUUUUUCUUAAGGUUUGUUCUUGGAAAGGUAAUAAUUUGAAAAUUUCAAGUAUUAAAUCUUAUUUGAUUAUACUAUUGUGAUAAUUUAUGGUAUUUAUUGGAUAAUGGAAGGUGUGAUUCGAUUCGUGAAGCGAGGAAAGCUCAAUCUGAGAUACAUUGGACCCUUUCGUAUCAUUGAAAGGAUUGGGCCAGUGGCUUACAGACUUGAAUUUCCCCGGAGUUAGAUUGGAUUCAUAAUAUCAUCCAUGUCUAGAUGUUGAAAAAGUAUGUUCCCGAUCCCUCUCACAUUCUAAAGACACCUCCCAUUGAGUUGCAUGAAGAUUUGAAGUUUGAGGUACAACCCGUACGUAUUCUAGAUCGAAAGUAUCGAGUGCUAAGGAACAAGAGCAUUCCAAUGGUGAAAGUAUUGUGGAAGAAUGCUCGAAUGGAAGAGAUGACGUGGGAAGUCGAGCACCAGAUGAGAAACCAAUAUCCACAUCUUUUCUUUGAACCUGGUAAGUGAAAUUUUGAGAUGAAAUUUUAUUUUAAGGGGGGUAGUGCUGUAAAGCCAAACCUUAUAAAAUACUUGUCAUGACAUACAUGUGAUAGAUAGCAUGUUUACAUGCUAAGAGAGUCCCGAAAAAUUUACAAAAGUCGGUAUUGUACCUAGAGGAACAACAAAGUUGAUUUAAGCCUCGAACUAGAUCAAAUAGAGAUUUUAGGGUGAAAUUGAAAAUUUUACAUUCAAUGAAUGACUUAAAAUGGUGAUUCGGAGUUCGAGGAUUAAUUUGGAGUCAAAUCGAAAUUUUCACUAUCUAGGGGCAAAAUGGUAAUUUUGCCACUUGAGGAUAAAAUUGGAAUAUUGGAAGAAUUUUUUGAUCAAGAUUGAUCACAUUUGACUCAUUGGAGUAUAAUUUGAGGUUGAUAAGUGAAAAAAAUUGUAAUCCCGGUAUUUUCGAAACAUAGAGGUAAAGUGGUAAUUUUGCCACCUUAGGGGCAAAAUUGUAAUUUACACACCCGACACUUGUCCAGCACAUGGAUUUUAUCCAAUAUUAUCAUGGAUAAUUGAAGGAAUUUAACUGGUGGAGAGAGAAAGCUUAAUAGUUAAGAAAUUAAAAAUGGACCAAUGGGAUGGUGGCAUGUGUCAAGUUAAUAUCCAUUUACUUUUUUUAGCUUUAAACUCAGCAAAAAUCAGCUUAUUUUCUCUUCAUGUGGCCGGCCAUAGCAAGAACAAAGAGAGGAAAAGAAAAACAAUAAACCUAGGUGGGAAAAUUAAAAAAAAGUGUGGGAUUUCAAGGAAUCAAGCAAUCAAAAGUAAAAUUUCUUGAUUUUGGCUUGUGAUCUACCUUACCCAUGCUUUUCGCCUUAUUUUCCAUGGUUAGAUUUCAUGUUUUCAUGGUGAAUUCAUGGUUGCCCAAAUGGGUAUGGAGAGAGUAUGAAGUUAGAUUGAUUUGAUUUUAAGUUAUAUUAGUGUUUUAAGUUACUUUAGCACAUUUAGAAACAAAACAAUAAGAAAAGAAUUCAUUUUCCCCCAUUACCAUCAUUGGCCAAAUUUCCUAGGGAGAAUAUAAUGGCUGAAUUUGAUGAUAUUUCAUGAUAUUUUGGUGAUAUUUGAUGUUUGGUGAGGCUAGAAAUUAAAUGGGAAAUUUUGGUGCGAAAAUACGAAUUUUUGCUCAACAUAUAAACAUAUGUAAUUAUUGACCCGAGAUUGAUAAAUUGAACCUCAUUCACAGUCACUGAGGUAAUUUAGGUAUAAUUGGAGUGUAGAAAGUGAAACGAAUUGAUUUGGAGUUAAAUUGAAGAUUUUUGCCGAUUAGAUCGAGAAUAGCGCAAAUUAGGUCGAAUACUGUAUUUAAGCGGCUAUUCGGACAUUUUUUGUAUUCCAUGUCAUGCAUUAGUAGGCUAAAUUAGUUUAAUUUCAAUUUAGUAUCAAUGUGGUGAAUUUCUCAAUUUUGUACUAUGUCAAGGUGGUGAGUCCUCCGAUAAAGGCAAAGAAAUUGCAUCCGAGGACCGGUAGAUAGAGUACUUCGAAAGUCUGCAUUCUAGACAUUGUGAGUAAACUUACUGUCAUUGUAAUUAUCUAGGGUGGUUUUUAGAUGAUUUCAUGAAUUUUAUGAAAAAAUGGAUUUAAAAGGUAAAUUUUCAUGUUUUAUGAAUAAAGGUGUUCAAAUGAAAUUAAAUUAUAAAUUAUUUUGAAAUUAAUAAUGAUUUUGAAAAAUAGAGUACACGGAGACUGUUAAUUGUGGCAAUUUGAUUGUUUAAAUUGAUGGCUUAUGUUAUAUUGUUAUUGUGUUAGCAUGAUUGGUUGGGCUGUGUUUUAUGAAUUGUAUGAAUUGUUUUAUUUUACCUUAGCAGGUUGGGUAGUAUUUCAUUAGCCCUAUCAUGUUGUCAAAAUUUUAUUAUAUGGUGGAUUAUAUAUUAAUUAAUCACUGCAGUAGGGGGUUUCUGUGGAUCAGCCUUUUAGAAAGGCACAGUAAACCCCAUUAUAUUUUUACCUCGAUCGGAGAGGCGCGUAGGGUAUCUCCUGGGGUAAAAUUUAGGUUUCACUUCACGCUAAACAACCACGUGAGGGAGAACUCAGCCAACGCCAAGGAACGGUUGUACUUUUAAAUGAAAAAAAAAUGUGUUUUAUGCGAAAUGUGAAUUUUUAACAGCCUUGGCAAUCUUGGUAGGAUGCCUUGGCCAAAGUGUCCCUGAAAAUGGAUUUAUGGCACAAGCCUAGUUUUUAUGAGAUUCAUAGGCCUCUUCUCUUAUUUUAAAUGAAAUGUAUUUUAAUGCUAUGACCCAGUUUACGAUGAUUUACUUGAUCGUCUCCAUGUACUCAACUCUAGAUAUUUAUGAUGAUGUCUCUUUACUCAUUGAGAUUUUAUAAUCUCACCACCCUCUUUUCCCUCCAUUUCAGGCUUAGUAUAAGCUGUAGAUAACUGAUAGCGUCGAAGGCUACAGUUGACUCGACUACUUCAAAAAUCGUAGGUUCAUAACCUUCUUUCACUUUUGUCAUUUGGGGGCCCACGUGUCACUGUAAAUUAAAUUCAUACUUUAGUUAUCUGUACUACUGUAUGUAAGAAUUUAUUUUGUUUUUACUCUGAUAAAAAAAUUAAUUACGCAGUGUUCUAAAAAUAUUAUUUUAAGUUGGAAAUGAGAAGUUGAUAUUAAAGCCUUGCGGGGUUUCGGUUGACAUUCCGGGUAAUGAGUGUCUAUCGGGG
Molecule: long non-coding RNA, 9794 nt
Filed under: Theobroma cacao (cacao)
Lineage: Eukaryota; Viridiplantae; Streptophyta; Magnoliopsida; Malvales; Malvaceae
Description: long non-coding RNA (TCAC_LNC000854)
Source: RNAcentral